Molecule: non-coding RNA, 26 nt
Filed under: Homo sapiens (human)
Lineage: Eukaryota; Metazoa; Chordata; Mammalia; Primates; Hominidae
Source: RNAcentral
UCCUCAUGGUCAUCGCACGCAGCUCC